CGCCUGUUUAUCAAAAACAUUACCCUCCGAUUUAUAUAUGGGGGGCAAUUCCUGCCCAGUGACAUUAGUUCAACGGCCGCGGUAUCCUAACCGUGCAAAGGUAGCAUAAUAACUUGCCCAUUAAUUGUGGGCUAGAAUGAAAGGACUUACGAAAUAAAAACUGUCUCUAUGAAAUAUAUAAAAAUUAAUAUCUAACCGAAGACUGUUAGAUUAAAUCGAAGGACAAGAAGACCCUAUAGAGCUUAAUUCAAAUAAUAAGUCAUAUAUUACUAAGAUUCGGUUGGGGCGACCGGGGAAAAAAUUUAUAGAUCAUCCCUAUUUAUUAGAUUAACUAAUCAUACAAUAGACCCUUAAACAAGAUCACAGAACCAAGCUACCUUAGGGAUAACAGGCUAAUCUCUUUAAAGAGUCCUUAUCUAUAAAGAGGUUUGGCACCUCGAUGUUGGCUUAGGGAAAUAGUGCGACGCAAAAGUCACACAAGAUGGUUUGUUCAACCAAUAACGCCCUACGUGAUCUGAGUUCAGACCGG
RNAcentral lists this ribosomal RNA (529 nucleotides) under Allolobophora hrabei. Its description in RNAcentral is "partial 16S ribosomal RNA". It matches the Rfam family "Bacterial large subunit ribosomal RNA", at positions 1797 to 2619 of the family's 2925-position model. Lineage: Eukaryota; Metazoa; Annelida; Clitellata; Crassiclitellata; Lumbricidae. The record is from RNAcentral.